GACGAACGCUGGCGGCGUGCUUAACACAUGCAAGUCGAACGGAAAGGCCCUGCUUUUGUGGGGUUCUCGAGUGGCGAACGGGUGAGUAACACGUGAGUAACCUGCCCUUGACUUUGGGGUAACUUCAGGAAACUGGGGCUAAUACCGGAUAGGAGCUCCUGCUGCAUGGGGGGGGUUGGAAAGUUUCGGCGGUUGGGGAUGGAAUCGCGGCUUAUCAGCUUGAUGGUGGGGUAGUGGCGUACCAAGGCUUCGACGGGUAGCCGGCCUGAGAGGGUGGCCGGCCACAUUGGGACUGAGAUACGGCCCAGAUUCCUACGGGAGGCAGCGGGCGGGAAUAUUGCACAAUGGGCGGAAGCCUGAUGCGGCGACGCCGCGUGCGGGAUGACGGCCUACGGGUUGUAAACCGCUUUCGCCUGUGACGAAGCGUGAGUGACGGUAAUGGGUAAAGAAGCACCGGCUAACUACGUG
This 468-nucleotide ribosomal RNA is filed under the name uncultured bacterium. RNAcentral's name for it is "partial 16S ribosomal RNA". It matches the Rfam family "Bacterial small subunit ribosomal RNA", at positions 28 to 507 of the family's 1533-position model. The record is from RNAcentral.